UCGGCGACCUUUGCAACUUCAUCAUUGACGAGAUUGUUGAUUCUAGAGGCGCUUAUCAUGAUGUAAGGUCCGACUUAGGCUCCAAUCCACUUCACCAACACCUGCGUGAGACACACAGGCUCUGUCUUGGACGUUGAUAACAAUCUAGACUAAGAUGCAUAUGGACUUGUAGGAAUAUUUGAACUUGUGAAUUAUGGUUAUGUAAUAGACUUUGCGAUGAAUUAGACAUGUAAUUUGUGGUU
Molecule: long non-coding RNA, 242 nt
Filed under: Sorghum bicolor (sorghum)
Lineage: Eukaryota; Viridiplantae; Streptophyta; Magnoliopsida; Poales; Poaceae
Description: long non-coding RNA (SBIC_LNC007977)
Source: RNAcentral